Molecule: ribosomal RNA, 510 nt
Filed under: uncultured soil bacterium
Lineage: Bacteria
Description: bacterial SSU rRNA
Rfam family: Bacterial small subunit ribosomal RNA
Source: RNAcentral
GCGAAAGGGGCUUCGGUCCUGAGUAGAGUGGCGAACGGGUGAGUAACGCGUGGGUGAUCUACCUUCGAGCGGGGGAUAACGUCCCGAAAGGGACGCUAAUACCGCAUAACAUCCUGCCUUUGAAGAGGUGGAGAUCAAAGCUGGGGAUCGCAAGACCCGGCACUUGAAGAGGGGCCCGCGUCUGAUUAGCUAGUUGGUGGGGUAACGGCCUACCAAGGCAACGAUCAGUAUCCGGCCUGAGAGGGCGGACGGACACACUGGGACUGAGACACGGCCCAGACUCCUACGGGAGGCAGCAAGUGGGGAAUUGUUCGCAAUGGGCGCAAGCCUGACGACGCAACGCCGCGUGGAGGAUGAAGAUUUUCGGAUCGUAAACUCCUGUCGAAUGGGACGAAUAGGUUGCGGUUAACAGCCCGUAAUCCUGACGGUACCGUUAAAGGAAACCCCGGCUAACUUCGUGCCAGCAGCCGCGGUAAUACGGGGGGGGUAAAGCGUUGUUCGGAAUUACUG